This is a long non-coding RNA of Polyodon spathula (Mississippi paddlefish), 2662 nucleotides long. RefSeq lists it as uncharacterized. Lineage: Eukaryota; Metazoa; Chordata; Actinopteri; Acipenseriformes; Polyodontidae. The transcript is spliced from 4 exons. The record is from RefSeq and is a predicted model, not a curated record.
CCUGCUGUCUCUGAGGAUCAAGAGCAGACCUCAGUCCCUAGUGCUGUCAAUCCAGCACAAAGAAAAAACUCCAAUCCAGAACAAGACAAAACUCUGGUACGAUAACCACUGAAUCACAUUAUCUUUUUCCCCUAUAAAAUGAGAUGAAGUGGAAGAUCUCAAAGCCGUUGGUUCCAGCUCCAUCAGACACAAUCUGCGAAUGAGCUGUCAAGGUGAAAGAAGAGCUAGGAGUACAACCAUGAUUUGCACCAGCACACCUGCUUCCUGUAAUCUGCACGGCCAGACAGUCACGCGCUGGGAGGUCGAAACGGGAGUUGACCGCUUAGAGCCUGGAGGAAGGGCUGCCCGCAGCCACAGAUUUCCUGAAUUUUCCCCCUAAAAAAAUGAAAAAUAUCAGACGGCAUGUUAACAAAGUUCCCAGUGGAUGCCUGUCUUAUAAUCCAUUCAGCAUGCAGGCAGCACUCUCUGAAUGUGGGAUCUGAUUCUUCUGCAGGAACCUUCCAGAUGGCACUCGGAGUCAUUGAAAUAGACGAGAAGGGCCUAUAAAAACACUACAAACAUUGUACACUGUACAUCCAUAAAAACUGUAUAAAAAAUAAAAUAAUAACAACAACAUUUAUUAAUAAGGUUGGCAGUAAAAUUGAAGUGGUUGUUAUAAUUGACUGUUUUCAAAGUAUUCUCACUCAUGUACAGAAUUAAUGAUUGGUCCUAUUAUUGAUCUUUUUAAUGUAUUUUAUUUGUAUUAACAUAUGUUCUGGACCCAAUGUUUUAUUGUCUGUAAUUUACAGCUUCUCACUACUACACUAAAAGCCUGAUUUUCUUGAGAAGCAGGUGGGACCCCACGUCACCAUUUAAAGUACCUAAACCCCAGCCUUUCCACACUCCUCUUCAGAAGCACGAAGUGAAAAAGGAAGACAGUGAUGAAGACUCACAACUUCAGUUAAUUGGUAACAUUUUGUUCCUGGAGCUCAAGUCAUGGCUUUGACAACAGUUCAGUUGGUACAUUGUGUUGUUCAUCACAUUAGCUCUUUCCAAAAACAAACCUUCCAUAGUUAUCAAUAGUACAGUACAUUAAUGUUUCAGGCAUUUUUUAUUUUAAAGUCAAGCCAAGCCAAGCCAAGCAAGAUUGUAUGCAAACCAUACAGCUAUCACAUUACUUGCAAUACUACACAGUGGUAGGUACUAAUGGAAAUGUAAUUGAAACAUAUACAACUUAAUUGAAACUUUUCUAAAACAUAAAUUAUGAGCGGGGUCCUCAGGUGGCUCAGUGGUGUGCAGGAUAAGUCAUACAGUCAGGGCAGCACAGAUUCAUAUCCUGGCUGUGUGAAGUUGCCACAUGGAGUGUUGCAUUAACUAGGGAGGCAAAAGCAACAGGCACUUCUUUCUCCUCAACGCACUAUGUUCCCUGUUUCACCAAUCUUCAAGCAUUUCUUGUCCUGUUUAAAUGAGUGGAGGUUAUAGUUUGAGAUGGAAACCUGUCUACUAAGAACUGAAUCUGGUCAAGUCAAUUUCAUUCAAACAGCAAACAUAUGGAUUAGACUUCCCAUUACAACUGACCUGAGAAAGUCUAAACAGAUUCCCACUGACUGAUGCAAGAGUAUACGACGCAAAUGGCUCAAAUAUAAUUAUUUUUAUUAUUUAAUUUUUUUACUCCAUAAUAUGAAGAAUGGAUAUGUUAAACAACUUGAGUAAUGUUCGAAAAAGGGAUCGGAGAUUUCCUUUAACCUGAUUGGUCAAUACGAGGGUCUUAAUCUCCGGUAAAGGACCUCGAGUGUUAUCUUUCAAACUAUGCUUAAUCACUGUUCCAAAUUAAUCCACUGGAAAAUAUGGAAACACAGUAUUCGUGUAUGUUACUUUUUUUUCUGCUUGAUGAAAAAACAGUUGUUCUUGUACACACCCCCCUCUGAUUACUGUCUGUCAAUAUAGACUGCUUCCUCGCUGUCCUAUACAUUCAAUCUAUCUAUUUCAAAUUAGUAUAGCAAAUAACGUUUUAAAAAAUUGAGAAUAGUGUUUGUUGUCAGUGGCAAUCCAGCAACCACAAUAACAACUAGUCUCCGUUUUGAAUGACGAGUUGAAGAAAUCAAACAAGUGGAUGCAGCCUGAUUACUUUCAGCAACGUUGUUUCAGCAUAUCAGAGUGGCACACAGAAGGGUGCUCUCUUCUCUAAUUAAGCCAGGAAAGAGGUUUUGAAUAAACUUUAUGAACACUGUGAAAUAGUUACUAAACAAACAGCACAAACAGCAUUAGCACACAGACUAGAUAUUUUGAAUUACUAAAACUUUAUUAUUUGUUUAUUUCACUGAUACAUUUUGGAACCUAACACUAACUUAAAUAUUGAAAUUACACAAAUACAUGAACCAGCCCUCAAACCCUAAUACAAAAUGUGAAAGUUAGCUUUACUUUUAUUCUUUUACAUGUUUUACAAGCACUUCACAAACCGUGUUUGUUUUUCUGUACGAGGUACCUGGACUGAAGAAUAGCUGCAUGUAACUAGAAGAUUUCGGAUUUUAGCAUUGAGGUAUAAGUUAGGUUAUUGGAAAUACCCACAAUUCGGCAUAGUCCACCACUGGGAUAAUGAACCCAGAGUGAAGGCUACCAGACCACAAACAGAAUUCUGAGCAAACCACAUUUCUCAUAGGUUGAUCCCCGGAGCCAGCAUUGC